This 325-nucleotide unclassified non-coding RNA is filed under the name Hevea brasiliensis (rubber tree). Lineage: Eukaryota; Viridiplantae; Streptophyta; Magnoliopsida; Malpighiales; Euphorbiaceae. The record is from RNAcentral.
CGCGUCUCGUCCAAGCGCAAAUUGGACGACUAUGCACCGAGUUUCGAAGACGAUGAUGACUUGGAUUUCUCGGAACUAGUCUCUGUCAGAAUGCGAAAAGACGAGUCCCUCGCGGUGGAUUCCUCCUCCGCGGGUAAUAAUCAAUCAUCGUCGCCCUCUUCUUCAAGCCUCUUCGAUACUCGCGUCUCCGAAGCGAAAUCCGCUCAUAACUCCUGCUCCUCUCCUCUGGGGCCCAGUCGUUCGGCUUCCAGGCUUCAGUUUUUUUAUAAGAAUGAUUUCCGAUGGCAACCACAUUGUUAUACAUGCCAAUUCCGACGACACGGUG